Molecule: long non-coding RNA, 460 nt
Organism: Thunnus maccoyii (southern bluefin tuna)
Lineage: Eukaryota; Metazoa; Chordata; Actinopteri; Scombriformes; Scombridae
Exons: 2
Source: RefSeq, a predicted model, not a curated record
CUCACUCUCUGCUCUGCCACACCCCUCAUUAGUUCAACCACUUUCACCUGGCGCUCCAACCUGCUCAUCAUCUCCAAUCAAGCCAGUAUAUAAGCUGCCUCGGCCCACUCCCUUUUUGUCAGAUUGUCUAUGCUACAAUGCUAAGUCAUCUUGCCUUCAUCUCUGGACUGCCUUCCUGGUUCCUGAUCAGCUUGUCUCCGACCAUCGCUCUUUGUCUCUGCCCCGUCUGGCAUGGUGCCAUUAUGCACGCCCCUCCACCUCCCCAUCUCCACCGGGUCUCCACGGGAUCGCUGGUACCAUCACUUCAACAGCUAUCAGCCUCAUCUGAAGUCAUCACCACCACUAAUGUCUGGACUCCAUGGGGAGAUCUAUCUCAUGGCUGCUCAGGGAUGAUGUCGUUGUGGAAUCCAAGUGUAUAUCAUUUCUAUCUGUACAAUAAACAUUAUCUUUGCUCAUUCAA